UACGAAGGGGGCGAGCGUUGUUCGGAAUUACUGGGCGUAAAGGGCGCGCAGGCGGCCUUAGAAGUCAGAUGUGAAAGCCCCGGGCUCAACCUGGGAAUGGCAUUUGAUACUCUGAGGCUGGAGUACGGGAGAGGAGAGUGGAAUUCCCAGUGUAGAGGUGAAAUGCGUAGAGAUGUGGAGGAACACCAGUGGCGAAGGCGACUCUUUGGCCUAUAACUGACGCUGAGGCGCGAAAGCGUGGGGAGCAAACAGG
Molecule: ribosomal RNA, 253 nt
Filed under: uncultured bacterium
Lineage: Bacteria
Description: partial 16S ribosomal RNA
Rfam family: Bacterial small subunit ribosomal RNA
Source: RNAcentral